This 497-nucleotide ribosomal RNA is filed under the name uncultured bacterium. Its description in RNAcentral is "partial 16S ribosomal RNA". It matches the Rfam family "Bacterial small subunit ribosomal RNA", at positions 28 to 507 of the family's 1533-position model. The record is from RNAcentral.
GAUGAACGCUGGCGGCGUGCCUAAUACAUGCAAGUCGAGCGAACGGACGAGAAGCUUGCUUCUCUGAUGUUAGCGGCGGACGGGUGAGUAACACGUGGAUAACCUACCUAUAAGACUGGGAUAACUUCGGGAAACCGGAGCUAAUACCGGAUAAUAUUUUGAACCGCAUGGUUCAAAAGUGAAAGACGGUCUUGCUGUCACUUAUAGAUGGAUCCGCGCUGCAUUAGCUAGUUGGUAAGGUAACGGCUUACCAAGGCAACGAUGCAUAGACGACCUGAGAGGGUGAUCGGCCACACUGGAACUGAGACGCGGUCCAGACUCCUACGGGAGGCAGCAGUAGGGAAUCUUCCGCAAUGGGCGAAAGCCUGACGGAGCAACGCCGCGUGAGUGAUGAAGGUCUUCGGAUCGUAAAACUCUGUUAUUAGGGAAGAACAUAUGUGUAAGUAACUGUGCACAUCUUGACGGUACCUAAUCAGAAAGCCACGGCUAACUACGUG